UGUUGUACAUAUUCCAACACUUCUGCCUUACACAGUUCCAUGAAAAAGUAUAUGCCCCCUUCUGAUUUUUUCUUACUGUUACAUUUUUGUCAGACUAAAUGGUUUGAGGUUCUCAUACAGAAUGUAAAAUAAGGCAAGGAGAACAUGAGGAAGCACAGUUUUUAAAUGAUCAUUUCCAGUACUGAAGGAAAAUAUGUUUUGCAACACCUUUAUCACCUCAAUAACCGGAUGUGACACCUUUAGCAGCAGCAACUGCAACCAUGUUUCAUUUCAUCUCUACAAAAACCCCCAGAAGAAAAUCUGGUCAAUUCUGUCUACAAACUGCUGAAGGCUGUGAAUACAGUUUCCUUCAUGAACACACGUUCUGCAGUGAGGUGUUUGUGGUGAGCAGAGCGCGUCUGCAGGUCUCUACAGCGGCAGAUAAAGCCAAGAAAACAAGGUGGAUGUUCAUAGCUAGUUAACUCACCAUACUUAUAGAGAGCUUCAAGGCUGCAGGAGAUCACUCACAGACACUUCCUCUGUGCAAAAUAAGGGUUUUGCUCACUGUUGCCACUCUGGUGGUCAUGGCUGGUGCUACCAGCAUCUCUCUGGAAGAUCUGGAGUUCCAAGCAUGGAAACUGAAGUUUGUGCAUUACAACCAUUUCCACCCCUCUCAGUGUGAUCUGGCUGGACAAUCGUAAGCUGGUCCUGAAGCACAACAUGCUGGCUGACCAGGACAUCAAAAGCUACAGACUUGGAAUGAACCGCUUUGCAGACAUGGAUAAUCAGGAGUACCAGCAGAUGUUCAAGGGCUGCCUGGGAUCCUUCAAUGGGUCCGAGAUUGAGAGGGCCACUACAUUUCUCCAACCGGUAGAGGACGCUGCUCUGCCUAGCACUGUGGACUGGAGGGCUGCAGGCUACGUGACUGAGGUUAAGGACAAAAGUCAUUGUGGCUCCUGCUGGGUCUUCAGUGCGGUGAGUUACAGCAGGACAGACAGAGAGGGAGAACCAGAUGGAGGGAUAAUUUGAAGUAGCAGUGGGUGGUAAAGAUAAAUAUUUGUCUUUAAAAUUUCUGAAAGUACCUGGGUCUUUAUCUUCUUGCAUUGUGCAAGUACCUCCCAGGGAAGGACACACUUCCCAACAUGUAAAAACCAAAACAGUUUUGUAGAUAAGCAGUCAACAUCAGCCAUAUAAAACCACCCAUUCUUUGCCAUUAUAUCAGUAAAAAUACUGUAUAUUUGUAUUCAAACCAUAAAGAAUUACACAUUCUGAUCAGUCUUCUGAAUCUGUUUAAAUACAUACUAAGCAUGAAUUAUGUAUAAAAAAAACAUCAUCAUCAUCAUCAUUACUCCACUGAUAGACAUUAGUAUGGCUAGUGACUCACUGUAUAAAAUAAGAUUGAUUUGCUUGAGACUCCACCUUUGCAGUAAAAAAACAAAAGAAAGACAAUAUAUGCAAAUAAACUACACUCAUAUUUUGUUUUUGGGUUAUUUUUGACCAUUAAUUGAAGCUAUUGAAGAGGAAAUUUGAU
Molecule: long non-coding RNA, 1510 nt
Organism: Colossoma macropomum (tambaqui)
Lineage: Eukaryota; Metazoa; Chordata; Actinopteri; Characiformes; Serrasalmidae
Exons: 4
Source: RefSeq, a predicted model, not a curated record